RNAcentral lists this ribosomal RNA (254 nucleotides) under uncultured bacterium. RNAcentral's name for it is "partial 16S ribosomal RNA". It matches the Rfam family "Bacterial small subunit ribosomal RNA", at positions 524 to 776 of the family's 1533-position model. The record is from RNAcentral.
UACGUAGGGCGCAAGCGUUGUCCGGAAUUAUUGGGCGUAAAGAGCUCGUAGGCGGUCUGUCGCGUCUGCCGUGAAAACCCGAGGCUUAACCUCGUGGCUUGCGGUGGAUACGGGCAGACUAGAGGUAGGUAGGGGAGAAUGGAAUUCCCGGUGUAGCGGUGAAAUGCGCAGAUAUCGGGAGGAACACCGGUGGCGAAGGCGGUUCUCUGGGCCUUACCUGACGCUGAGGCGCGAAAGCGCGGGGAGCAAACAGG